AACGAACGCUGGCGGCAUGCCUAACACAUGCAAGUCGAACGAGACCUUCGGGUCUAGUGGCGCACGGGUGCGUGACGCGUGGGAACCUGCCCUUAGGUUCGGAAUAACUCCCCGAAAGGGGUGCUAAUACCGGAUAAUGUCUUCGGACCAAAGAUUUAUCGCCUUUGGAUGGGCCCGCGUUGGAUUAGCUAGUUGGUAGGGUAAAAGCCUACCAAGGCGACGAUCCAUAGCUGGUCUGAGAGGAUGAUCAGCCACACUGGGACUGAGACACGGCCCAGACUCCUACGGGAGGCGGCAGUGGGGAAUAUUGGACAAUGGGCGAAAGCCUGAUCCAGCAAUGCCGCGUGAGUGAUGAAGGCCUUAGGGUUGUAAAGCUCUUUUACCCGGGAUGAUAAUGACAGUACCGGGAGAAUAAGCUCCGGCUAACUCCGUG
Molecule: ribosomal RNA, 433 nt
Filed under: uncultured bacterium
Lineage: Bacteria
Description: partial 16S ribosomal RNA
Rfam family: Bacterial small subunit ribosomal RNA
Source: RNAcentral